Molecule: ribosomal RNA, 433 nt
Filed under: uncultured bacterium
Lineage: Bacteria
Description: partial 16S ribosomal RNA
Rfam family: Bacterial small subunit ribosomal RNA
Source: RNAcentral
AACGAACGCUGGCGGCAUGCCUAACACAUGCAAGUCGAACGAGACCUUCGGGUCUAGUGGCGCACGGAUGCGUAACGCGUGGGAACCUGCCCUUAGGUUCGGAAUAACUCCCCGAAAGGGGUGCUAAUACCGGAUAAUGUCUUCGGACCAAAGAUUUAUCGCCUUUGGAUGGGCCCGCGUUGGCUUAGCUAGUUGGUAGGGUAAAAGCCUACCAAGGCGACGAUCCAUAGCUGGUCUGAGAGGAUGAUCAGCCACACUGGGACUGAGACACGGCCCAGACUCCUACGGGAGGCAGCAGUGGGGAAUAUUGGACAAUGGGCUGUAUCCUGAUCCAGCAAUGCCUCGUGAGUGAUGAAGGCCUUAGGGCUGUAAAGCUCGUUUACCCGUGAUGAUAAUGACAGUACCGGGAGAAUAAGCUCCGGCUAACUCCGUG